This 5760-nucleotide long non-coding RNA is filed under the name Triticum aestivum (bread wheat). Its description in RNAcentral is "long non-coding RNA (TAES_LNC010310)". Lineage: Eukaryota; Viridiplantae; Streptophyta; Magnoliopsida; Poales; Poaceae. The record is from RNAcentral.
AGAAAAACCCAAUUAGCAGGCUAAUUGGCCUAUUAUUAAUAAUCCAUUUAUUAAUCUAAUUGACAUUUCAUAUUAAGCACACAAUAUAUUUCAUUUUCGUAUUAAGGAAGUAGGAUUCCAUAAUUGAAAUACAUCAGAGCACAACAUCAUAUAGCUUCAGCACUCAACUACCCCAUUACACAAUUGCACCAGCACCAAGUUUCACACGCAACAUCUAUAACCUUUGAAAAUUAGCAUCAUAGACGGUACAUAGACAGAUGAAUCUCAUCCAGAAAACUGCUGAAGCGGAAGGCGAAUAUUGAGCCUUCAUUGAUGUUGAAGGUCUUUGCAACUUUAGGCCAGUGCCUGUGGAUGAUUGACCGUGAAUCCUUCAUCCUCUUCAAGAAUACUUCAAUAUUGAACCGUGGGUGUUGUAUGAAUACCUUCCUCACCUCCUAAUCAUAUAGGUGGUUUGAGAGGUAAUCAUCAGUGAACUGCUUUGGAAAGGUCUGAAAACAAGGAUAUGGAUAAAUAUCUUCUCUAGAUUUGAAAUGGCGCAAAGGAAUAAAAAAGAUAAGGUAUAACAGUUAGUAGCAUCCUGUAGUGAACUGAUGUCUUCUUCAUUGUGCAGACAAAGACCUUGUUGUUUUUGGUCGCUAAGUUCUUUAUCCUAACAAUCUUUCUGAGUUUCUUGACUUGAAUGAUAUUCAUGGACAACUCAUUUCCCCAUAUACAAAAAGGGUCAAACAGUGGGUCAAAACCUCUGGCAGCAGGACUUACAUGUGCAAAACCAAAUUGUUAAAAACCUAAAUAUUAGAAUGGUUCUUGCAAUUGCACAAUAAUGUGCUAUUAGACAAAGGACCAUGCAUGUGCAAACCUCGAUUGUAAACCAUAGUGCUUCCCAUUGUUUCCUUGCAACACAUAUAAGGUAGUUAGUGAUCAGGUUAAGUGAGGGUUGGCAUGCUAUUAGUAAAAAAUGUUGAUGAAAAAUAAACACAUUGCAGAUUCAUCAGAUUAAUUCGAGCCACAUGAAAAACCAAUUUAUCCAAACCAAGCAUGAUUAAGAACUAAAAUAUAGCAAUUUUAUAUGUUUCUCAUGUAUUAAGUGCAUCCAAAUUUGAUUUAUUCCUCACAUGCAUAACAAUAUAAAUUGCUACCACAACAAUUGGACAUCACACUACAGAAUUGAACCAAGCAGUUAAGUAAACACCACAACAAAUGAACCAAAUGUUAACUAAGCACUACAUUGCACAAUGUAACAUACUCCUAAUAGAAGAUCAGACAGUUAACCAAACCAAGCAUGCUUAACAACUUGGAAAUAUAGCAAUUGUAUUUGUUUCUCAUGUAUUUAGUACAACGAAAUUUGAUUUAUUUCUCACAUGGUAUACAGUAACAAAAUGCACCCACAACAAUUGAACAUCGCAUUGCAUAAUUGAACCAAACAGUUAACUAAACACCACAACUAAUGAACCAAACAUUAACUUAGCACCACAUUGCACAAUAUAUAACAUACUAGAAGAUCAGACAUUUAACCAAACCAAGCAUGCUUGACAACUUGGAAAUAUAGCAAUUGUAUUUGUUUCUCAUGUAUUUUGUAUAGAUAAGUUCGAUUUAUAUCUCACAUGGAAGACAAUACAAAAUUGCACCCUAAAGAAUUGAACAUCACAUUGCAAAAUUGAACCAAGUAGUUAACUAAACAAGACAACUAAUUAACCAAACAGUUAAUAAGUGAGCACCACAUUGCACAGAAUAUAGAACAUAUACGCUAGAGCAAUAGAUUACAUGGUAAAAGUAGAUAGGACAAUUCACUAGAAUUUGUUAAGGAAAGGCAGGAGCAGCACAUGCAACGGGUAAACCGAGCAUGCUUAACUGGCUUAGCUAGCUAACUAAACAUAGGUCCUUAUAGUGAGCUAACAAGACAUGCUACUCCUCAUCAUUGGAGAUAUCAAUGAUGAUUGGCUCCUUGGACAUGGAAGAGGGUGAGGCCUCCACAUCGUGGGUGCCCUCCUCGUAGUGGUGAGUUGCCUGAGCCGCUCUGGGCACCAACCUGCUGGCUCUCAAGUUGAGGUAAGCACGGGCCCAUAGAUAAAACACCUUGUAAUCUUCAUCGAAGGCAUGACGCUGGCCUCGAGAAAAUGCCACGAACUGUCAUUUAAAGUAGUCAACCGCGUUUCGGUGUCAGCGCGCGAGGCGUCGAUGGUGGCCUCGACGGCGAGGUGUUCCUCCAAGAUCUGGGUGUCGACACGAAUAGCAGCCAUCGUGACCUCAUCCGCACGUGCGGCAACGAUUUGAUUCUCUGCUGCCAAAUGCUCCUAGAGCUCUUGGCUAUACUACCAGCACCAUGGCUUAGGGCGGCGCUUAUUUGGGGAGGGGUCGGUGAUUUGGGUGGAAGGUGUCGCGCCGGCGGUCGGGGCAUGUGGGAUGUGGAAGGAGGAGUGAUACGUGUCCAACGUAUCUAUAAUUUAUGAAGUAUUCAUGCCAUAUUUACAACAAUUUUAUAUGUUUUUGUUUAUUUGCAUGGAACUAACCCGGACUGACGCUAUUUUCAGCAGAACUACCAUGGUGUUGUUUUUUGUGCAGAAAUAAAUGUUCUCCAAAUGAGCUGAAACUUUUUGUCAAUUUUUUUGGAACAAAAGAGGCACUAGAAGCUUCGUGGGAGGGCCAGAAGAGCCAUAAGGAGGGCACAACCCAUCAGGGCAUGCUAGAGGGGCCUGGCUUGCCCCAGUGGGUUGUGCUCACCUCGAGGCCCAUCUUCGCGUGAAACCAACGCCAAAAAAAUCCUAGAACUAGAGAAACCAUCAGAAAUUAAUCUAGAUCAUAAGUUCAGCCGCUGCAAGCCUCUGUAGCUAGGAAAAACCAAUCUUGACCCCAAUUCGGCACGCUGCCGGAGGGGGAAAUCAUCACCGGUGGCCAUUUUUAGCAUCCCAGCGGCCACCAUGAUGAGGAGGGAGUAGCCUACCCUUGGGGCUGAGGGUUUGCACCAGUAGCUAUGUGUUUAAUCUCUCUCUCUCUCUCAUGUUCUUGAGAUGUCACGAUCUUGAUAUAUUGCAGGCUUUGUUAAUAUAGUUGGAUCAUAUGGUGUUUUCCCCUCUCUAUGUUGUUGUGAAUUGAGUUUUCCCUUUGAGAUUUCUUUCUUAUCGGAUUGAAUACUUUUAUGGAUUUGAGAACACUUUAUGUAUGUCUUGCUAUGAAUACCCGUGGUGACAAUGGGGUAUCAUAUUAAUCCACUUGAUACAUGUUUUGGCACUCAACUCGCAGAUUCCCGAGGUGACAUUGGGGUAAUCUAUGCAUAGGGGUUGAUGCGCGUUCUUGUCUUUGUUUUUCCUAUAGAAAUCUUGGGGCACUCUUUGAGGUUAUUUGUGUUGGAUUGAGUAUUAUGAAUUUGAAAUUAUUUGGUGUUAUCUUAGUACGAACUCUUGAUAGAUCGAUCGAAAAGGAUAACUUGGUGUUAUUUUAGUAUGAACUCUUGAUAGAUGGAUCGGGAAGGAUAACUUGGUGUUAUUUUAGUACGAGCUCUUGGAUAGAUUGAUCGAAAAGAAUUGCUUCGAGGUGGUUUCAUACCCUACCAACAAUUUCAUCUUAUGUUCUGUGCUAGAUAGGAACUAUGGAGUGAUUCUUCAGCGCACAUUGAGGGAUGGUUAUAUGAUCCAACUAGAUCGUUGAUGGCGCGCGUUGCCGCACCCAUCUGUUUUGACAAUAUAAUAUGUGAACAUGAAGUAUCAAAGUCCAUGCUAAAAAAAUCUGCAUUGGUAACUGAAGAAUAUUCUAAAAAAUGGUAACUGAGUUGAAAUCUUCUAUUGGAAAUGUAUAUUAUCUAUAAAAGGUAUAGCAAAAUAGGAAGAGACACAAUUCCAACUUUGGUUAGUCGAAAUAGUUAAGUUUCAUUGAUGCUAUGUAAAAUAGCAAAAACAAUUGAAAAAGUAGUUCUAGGUGGACGUGUCUAUGCUGUAGCAAGCUGUAUCGAAAUAGGUAUGAGUGUUUAUGGAAACCACUCAUGUCCAUUAAGAACAAUUUUCAUGAAUCAGAUAGUAAGGACCCUGGGUAUUACAUUUCCAAAUUGUGCGGCAAAAGAUUAAAGAAUGUGUUAAAAAAUAACAGUUUGAAUGUGUUAAAGCACUGCUAAACAAUAAUCUCAAAAGCAUUCAAUGUCUUCGUGUAUCUUUUAUGUAUUCUUUUUACAUGCAUGACUAACAUUUCAUUUGUAAAUAAAACACUUCAACAAUAAUAUCUCAGACUCAUCUAUUGGUGAGCCAUAGUGAUGCAGAUAAAUAUGUAAUCAAGACGGUCAGAGGAGACCCAAAAUUAUGUCAAGAUACUAAGUAGGAUAUAGUCCAACCGUCUAAGGCAAAAUCAUGAAACCACAACUAAAUUAGAGAAUUAGAUGAUCAGAUCUAAAAGCAGGCACCAGAAUUCUAAUGCAAAUAUUAUUUACUUGAAGAACUUAUCUAUGCCAAGAGGACAAUUAUAGGUGGCAACAUGGAAAUAAAAUGUAGGCUGACCGAGCAAACCAGAUAUAACUAACCUUGAAUGUCUUUGCAUCUUUAUUAAGAUAAGAUCUCCAACAAUGGAAGGAAACUAUUGUUCGGGCAGAUUCAUGCAAGUUUUUAGCAUCUGGCCCAUACAAAAAAAUAACAUUUGAAGUUGUAUUUGAUAUGAAAACAAUAUGGCCAAUUGAAAAGGGCGACAGAAGCAAGGGAAAAAGGCUCUCUUAGUAUGUUGUUGGAGCUAUCCUAGUGGUAAACGAUGCUUUAGGUGCUAAACUAAUUCCUGAAAUUUCAUGCAAGAAGAAUCAGCAAGUUUUCUAGGCGGUCCAUGUUAAUGGUAAUUUUGUAUUGAAAAAGGCAUAUGGCUUUGCAGAACUAUUUCCAUCACAUGAUCAAAAUAACUUUGUCGUCGUUGUAUCAACAUCUAUUGUGUCCAAAAUGCUUCAGUCAGACUGCCCAAACACACUGAUGCUAUGCCGCUGUACCACAUUUUUACAACAACUUGAUUUUUCUCAAAAAAUUCAAGAACAUGUUUAUGAAGAUAAAGGGACAAAUAUAUGAAUUAACGCUCUAGGAGGGAAGUGGCAUAAACUAAAUAAUCUAACCACACAUAUAAUGCGAGUAAACCCCAAUAAAAACAUCAUCGGGUUUGAUGGUUAGCCGGGAACCUUGCAAAUUCCUUCCCAAAAAUAAAAUGAAAAGUCUGGUACUCUAGUUUAGUUUACCCGAGAGACCAUGCUAGUGCUAGUACCAUACAGAGUCAUACUCUUCCCAUUAUAGUGAUGGUAGAAUUAGUCUACAAAAUAAAAAAGAAUACAAGUCAAUACGUAUUUAUGAAUCAAGAGGGCAGGAUAAAACAAGCUUCAACCAUGAGUUGUGGGACUUGUUGAAUGGCUUGCACCAAUAUAUCAAUGUUGUUACACCCUACAAAAAGCAUGAAAGUUGACUUGCAUGAGCAUCAUGGAGAGGCCGUACAUAAUGACCUUGGAGGGGCUCUUCUCCGGGCACACCAUGGUUUUGGCCACAUAAACUCUAUAAUCAGAGCACCAAAUCUUAAUCACCAAAAUCUACUUCUUUUACAAACUCCAUCUGAAGGUAAUGUUUCCGCUCACCUGUUUCCUCCAUAGACUGCAACCACAUCACUACGCACGAGCGGCAGCGAGAGAAGAGAGAGGAUAGGACGGCAAGUACGUCCCGCCAUGGGAGGUGGGAUGUCAAUAUCGCCUGAAGCUGCCAUGAACACGAGGUGUCGCCAUAGAUCUCCUCGCAUGCGCAUCGCCUGACGGCUGGAUCAACC